AGCUCCAAUAGCGUAUAUUUAAGUUGUUGCAGUUAAAAAGCUCGUAGUUGGAUUUCGGUCGAGGCCGGCCGGUCCGCCGUUUGGUGUGCACUGGCUGAACUCGACUUCCUGCGGAGGACGCGCUCUGGGCUUAACGGUCUGGACGCGGAGUCCGCGUGGUUACUUUGAAAAAAUUAGAGUGUUCAAAGCGGGCUUACGCUUGAAUAGAUUAGCAUGGAAUAACACUAUAGGACUCCUGUCCUAUUUCGUUGGUCUCGGGACGGGAGUAAUGAUUAAGAGGAACAGUUGGGGGCAUUCGUAUUACAUUGUCAGAGGUGAAAUUCUUGGAUUUAUGUAAGACGAACUUCUGCGAAAGCAUUUGCCAAGGAUGUUUUCAUUA
RNAcentral lists this ribosomal RNA (379 nucleotides) under uncultured Mantoniella. Its description in RNAcentral is "SSU rRNA". It matches the Rfam family "Eukaryotic small subunit ribosomal RNA", at positions 587 to 975 of the family's 1831-position model. Lineage: Eukaryota; Viridiplantae; Chlorophyta; Mamiellophyceae; Mamiellales. The record is from RNAcentral.